UACGUAGGGGGCAAGCGUUGUCCGGAAUCAUUGGGCGUAAAGCGCGUGUAGGCGGCUCGGUAAGUCUGCUGUGAAAGUCCAGGGCUCAACCCUGGAAUGCCGGUGGAAACUGUCGGGCUAGAGUCCGGAAGAGGCGAGUGGAAUUCCUGGUGUAGCGGUGAAAUGCGCAGAUAUCAGGAGGAACACCAAUGGCGAAGGCAGCUCGCUGGGACGGUACUGACGCUGAGACGCGAAAGCGUGGGGAGCGAACAGG
Molecule: ribosomal RNA, 253 nt
Filed under: uncultured bacterium
Lineage: Bacteria
Description: partial 16S ribosomal RNA
Rfam family: Bacterial small subunit ribosomal RNA
Source: RNAcentral